Molecule: long non-coding RNA, 1966 nt
Organism: Lineus longissimus
Lineage: Eukaryota; Metazoa; Nemertea; Pilidiophora; Heteronemertea; Lineidae
Exons: 13
Source: RefSeq, a predicted model, not a curated record
UAAAAACCAUGUUUUCUUGAUCAAAACCCAAUUGUUUUUUUACAAGAGAACUAUGUUUAAAAAUAAUUAUACCUAUGCUUCUUCAAUACGUAGAAGGAAAAUUGGUUUUGUGGAAUAAAACCAUGUUAUGUCUUCAUCAAAACCUAGUGUUUAUUGAAAAAGACCAGGUUAUUUCUUAUAAAAUCUAGUUUCCAAUCCAUGUGCUAGAAACCAAAUCUUAACACUAGAGGCGCUGAUUACGUUCCUUGCAACGCAUCGUCUUUUUACCUCGUCUCCACAGCGGAACACGCAUGAUUCCUCUGGGGGAGAGGUUGAGUGGGAGAUGAGGAGCUUUCAUUACUCCACAUGCGCAGUGAACCCGUCGGUUUUGUUUAAGCGCGCGCAGUUCAUCCCGUGCAUGCUGUCAGCUGUGCAGAUCGGAUGUCAGUCAGUUUAGCGCUACAAAACGAAAUGUCCGAUAGUUCUGACCUAGGUGAUUUUGGGAGUAACCUGAAAAAGGCUAUUGCGAGUGUUCCAUCCCAGCAGGUACAUGUACAAGUAGCCAGACCGAGGCCAAUAGCCAGACCAUGACUGAGAAUGCCACAUUGAAAUAAUGAGUCAUCACACUAACAGUCUAGGUCCUGAACACCAGCAGCGCAUCUGGUAGUGGUCUGUAAUUAUUUCGACCUCGGUCAUCAAUACCAGCAGCCUCUGGUAGUCGACUUGGGUCAUCGCACCAGCAGCCUCUGGCAGUCAACUUGGCCUUGGGUUAUCAACACCAGCAGCCUCUGGUAGUCAUCAUAGGUCAUCAACGACAGCAGCCUCUGGUAGUCGACUUGGGUCAUCGCACCAGCAGCCUCUGGUAGUCAACAUGGGUCAUCAACACCAGCAGCCUCUGGCAGUCAACUUGGCCUUGGGUUAUCAACACCAGCAGCCGCUGGUAGUCAACAUGGGUCAUCAACACCAGCAGCCUCUGGCAGUCAACAUGGGUCAUCAACACCAGCAGCCUCUGGCAGUCAACUUGGCCUUGGGUUAUCAACACCAGCAGCCUCUGGUAGUCAACUUUGAUCAUCAACACCAGCAGUCUCUCGCAGUCGACUUCCUACCACUCAAAAUAUCCCUGGACUGCAGCCGAGUUCGCCAACCGCCACUGCUACUGAAGUGCUGCAUCCAUCGAAUGCAUCCACUGUGAGUGUGAGUGUGAGUGAGCCAAUGUCUAUAUUUGAUGAGAAUGAAGAUGAUCACAAGGAUGCUGUUAUCGUGAAUAAUGAGCUGCUGUCCGACAGUAAUUUGAGGAAUCUGCUUGCAGUUCAAGAUUUUGAGUUUUUGCAGAGCCUCGCAUCAUCGGGCAACUCAAGGAGAAAAGUGACCCUCAAGGCAUCAAUGCAUUUGCCUUUGCAACCUGAGGUUCGCUUUUUGACCUUCGCUAACGGGAUCUGGCUGUAACGGAUCAAAGAAGGGAAUCAGAUAGAAGACAAGCACAGUUGAAUUUGAGGAUGGCUCGAACACAAAGGAGGAGGAGAGCAGCUGCUCAAGACGAGAGGAAAGAGGUUCAGUUACGAAAGCUCAAGGACGUUGGUGAUGAACCUGGAGAAGGGAUAUUGACUUCAUUUCGUAGUAAUCGCCCAUUGAGACGACGGUUCCGUCACUAAUGAUGUAUUGCUCCUGUUUAUUGUGUUGAAGGAUCCAGCUCAUCACCAGCUGUGAAGUUAUUUCUUGCUGGGAAAGAACUUUCAAGUUUCGAAGAUAGCCUCACUGAUGUCGGUAUUUCCUCUAAUACGUCAUUGAUGGUGAAGGAUGUUGCAGUCGAUGAUGUGGAUGUGGAAGAAGAUGACAGCUCAGAUGAAGAAGAGGUGGUAGCUGAUAGUGUACAUGAACCAACCGAGAAUGAGAAACAUGCCAGGUGUGGCAAUGACUGAUUUUGCUGAUCUUCGAAAAUGAUCAAUGGAGCUCAAGAUUUUCAUGGGAGCUGGACAAGAGAGAAGGA